This 458-nucleotide ribosomal RNA is filed under the name uncultured bacterium. RNAcentral describes it as "bacterial SSU rRNA". It matches the Rfam family "Bacterial small subunit ribosomal RNA", at positions 28 to 507 of the family's 1533-position model. The record is from RNAcentral.
GAUGAACGCUGGCGGCGUGCUUAACACAUGCAAGUCGGACGCACAUAUCUUUCGGGGGUGUGUGAGUGGCAGACGGGUGCGUAACACGUAGGUGACCUGCCCUGGAGUGGGGAAUAACUGUCCUAACGGACGGCUAAUACCGCAUAGGUUCGCCGAUUCGAUUCGGUGAGUAAAGCCUUCGGGCGCUUUGGGAUGGGCCUGCGGCGGAUUAGGUAGUUGGUGGGGUAACGGCCUACCAAGCCGAUGAUCCGUAGGGGGCGUGAGAGCGUGGCCCCCCACACUGGCACUGAGAUACGGGCCAGACUCCUACGGGAGGCAGCAGUGAGGAAUAUUGCACAAUGGGCGCAAGCCUGAUGCAGCAACGCCGCGUGGAGGACGAAGGCCUUCGGGUCGUAAACUCCUUUUCUGGGGAAAGAGCAAGGACGGUACCUCAGGAAUAAGUCUCGGCUAACUACGUG